Temnothorax curvispinosus is the source of this 848-nucleotide long non-coding RNA. RefSeq lists it as uncharacterized. Lineage: Eukaryota; Metazoa; Arthropoda; Insecta; Hymenoptera; Formicidae. The record is from RefSeq and is a predicted model, not a curated record. The transcript is spliced from 3 exons.
UGAGACUCCUGGACGACGGCGUUUUCGACGGACUCACGGGUUUGGAGCAGCUAGACUUGAGGUGCAACCGGCUGGUCACGUUGCACGGACGAAGCUUCCGACUUCUGAAAUCGUUGAUGGACGUGAAUCUUCAGGGCAAUCGAGUGGAGGUUCUGCGACCUGAUAUUUUUCAAGAGAAUACGAGACUGCAAAGAGUUGACUUGAGUAGAAAUAAUCUCGCACAAAUUCCUCACGCCACCUUCGCCAACACCAGAGAUUCUUGAUUAUAAACGCUAAUAAAAAAAAACUCAUUAAGUUUAUAAAAAUUUUUUAACUAUGUCUUUAAAAUUAAAGAAGUUAAUCACAAUUGCUAUAAUAGCUGAAGCUAUACAAAAAAAGACAAUCGAAGAAAAUAGUAUAAAAAAGAAACGAAGAAAGCGUCGUAAAAUAUGGACACGUUAAAUACUCAGAAGAAGUCAUAAUUUACGAGGCACAAUUAAUUUAGCCCAUCUACAUAGAAUUAAGAAGCGAAGAUACUGAUUAUUUUCAAAGAUUUUUUCGAAUGAGACACGAUUUAUUUGAUCAACUUGUGGAACUAGUAGCACCCUAUAUACAGCGUCAAAACACUAACAUGAGAGAAUGGUAUAUGUCCUAAAGAACGUUUAUCACUAACUCUGAGGUUUUUGGCUACUGGUGAGAAUUAUAGGAGUUUAGAGUACUCGACAAGGAUACCAGCAUGUUCAAUUUCUCGGAUAAUUCCAGAGACAUGUCGUGUCAUAUACGAAGUUCUUCGAAACGAUUACUUGCGGAUACCAACUACAAAUGCUGAAUGGGAACAGAUUGCAAAUAAUUAUUUUGAAAUAUGGAAC